RNAcentral lists this ribosomal RNA (253 nucleotides) under uncultured bacterium. RNAcentral's name for it is "partial 16S ribosomal RNA". It matches the Rfam family "Bacterial small subunit ribosomal RNA", at positions 524 to 776 of the family's 1533-position model. The record is from RNAcentral.
UACGUAGGGCGCGAGCGUUGUCCGGAAUCAUUGGGCGUAAAGAGCUCGUAGGCGGCCGGUUGCGUCUGCUGUGAAAUCCCGGGGCUUAACCCCGGGCGUGCAGUGGAUACGGGCUGGCUGGAGGCAGGCAGGGGAGAAUGGAAUUCCCGGUGUAGCGGUGAGAUGCGCAGAUAUCGGGAGGAACACCGGUGGCGAAGGCGGUUCUCUGGGCCUGUGCUGACGCUGAGGAGCGAAAGCCAGUGGAGCAAACGGG